AACGAACGCUGGCGGCAUGCCUAACACAUGCAAGUCGAACGAGACCUUCGGGUCUAGUGGCGCACGGGUGCGUAACGCGUGGGAACCUGCCCUUAGGUUCGGAAUAACUCCCCGAAAGGGGUGCUAAUACCGGUUAAUGUCUUCGGACCAAGGAUUUAUCGCUUUUGGAUGGGCCCGGGUUGGAUUAGCUAGUUGGUAGGGUAAAAGCCUACCAAGGGGACGUUCCAUAGCUGGUCUGAGAGGAUGAUCAGCCACACUGGCACUGAGACACGGCCCAGACUCCUACGGGAGGCAGCAGUGGGGAAUAUUGGACGAUGGGCGAAAGCCUGAUCCAGCAAUGCCGCGUGAGUGAUGAAGGCCUUAGGGUUGUAAAGCUCUUUUACCCGGGAUGAUAAUGACAGUACCGGGAGAAUAAGCUCCGGCUAACUCCGUG
This 433-nucleotide ribosomal RNA is filed under the name uncultured bacterium. Its description in RNAcentral is "partial 16S ribosomal RNA". It matches the Rfam family "Bacterial small subunit ribosomal RNA", at positions 29 to 507 of the family's 1533-position model. The record is from RNAcentral.